Molecule: non-coding RNA, 105 nt
Filed under: Anoxynatronum buryatiense
Lineage: Bacteria; Bacillati; Bacillota; Clostridia; Eubacteriales; Clostridiaceae
Source: RNAcentral
GAAAGCCGUAUGAGGGAAAACCUCACGUACGGUUUGAUGAGGGGAGGCUGAAAAUAAAUGGGCGACACGUAAAGGCCACCCAUUGAAAUCAGUUUUCUACUCUAU